RNAcentral lists this ribosomal RNA (252 nucleotides) under uncultured bacterium. Its description in RNAcentral is "partial 16S ribosomal RNA". It matches the Rfam family "Bacterial small subunit ribosomal RNA", at positions 524 to 776 of the family's 1533-position model. The record is from RNAcentral.
UACGGAGGAUGCGAGCGUUAUCCGGAUUUAUUGGGUUUAAAGAGUGCGUAGGCGGACGCUUAAGUCAGCGGUAAAAUUGCGGGGCUCAACCUCGUCGAGCCGUUGAAACUGGGUGCCUUGAGUGGGCGAGAAGUACGCGGAAUGCGUGGUGUAGCGGUGAAAUGCAUAGAUAUCACGCAGAACUCCGAUUGCGAAGGCAGCGUACCGGCGCCCAACUGACGCUGAAGCACGAAGGCGUGGGUAUCGAACAGG